GCAUUCAGUUGCCAUCGGUGAGGCCGGGCACUCUGGAUGGACUGCCGGCGACAAGCCGGAGGAAGGUGGGGACGGACGUCAAGUCAUCAUGGCCCUUAUGUCCAGGCGACACACGUGCUACAAUGGCCGGCACAGCGGGAAGCGAAGGGGCGACUCUGAGCGGAUCCCUUAAGGCCGGUCCCAGUUCGGAUUGCAGUCUGCAACUCGACUGCAUGAAGUUGGAAUCGCUAGUAAUCGUGGAUCAGCCAAGCCGCGGUGAAUACGUUCCCGGGCCUU
This 276-nucleotide ribosomal RNA is filed under the name uncultured Thermovirga sp. Its description in RNAcentral is "partial 16S ribosomal RNA". It matches the Rfam family "Bacterial small subunit ribosomal RNA", at positions 1107 to 1382 of the family's 1533-position model. Lineage: Bacteria; Thermotogati; Synergistota; Synergistia; Synergistales; Thermovirgaceae. The record is from RNAcentral.